CAUAUGUAACAGGGUUGGUUAUGUUUCCACUUGCCUCUAAAGAAAUGUGUAUUUGAUGUUCAAGCAUUCUUAUUGGUUAGUUCAAUUCUGAUGACAAUAAGGGGUGUUGUGAUUGGCCCCACUUGCAGAUAGGGGGAGAUCGCGAACGUCAGGUCUUCCCAGUAUGAAAAUGUGAUGCAUGGGAUUUUGUCAUCGACAGCCAUCAACACUGUUAAGCGCUGCACAACUAACGUGCUGUUUCCCAUUUAACAACAGAUCUACUCCUCUGAUGUCAUGGCAGGCAGGUUGGCAGACCAGACUCCUCUGAUGAAAGCAAUAUUCCAAACCGUUCCACCUUUUCAUGCCCGUUCUGUGGAGCCCGCAAUCUGGACCAACAGGAGCUGUAUGGAGAACCACCGCAACGAUCCCAACAUAGUGGUGUGUCCUGUAUGUUCAGCCAUGCCGGGGGGACCCCAGCUACAAGAGCUCCAACUUCCUCCAGCACCUGCUCCACCGGCACAAGUUCUCCUACGACACGUUUGUGAUCAGGAUAAGGGUUGGGGUCUGGGCACUGUGUCUUCUAUUCUUUUGUCAAUAAUCAUAUCCUCUCAGCCAGCAGCAGCCCCUUCACUUCCUGUAUACUGGGGAGGAGGGGAGCUUGGCCUCCAAUAAAUGUUGCAAUUUAAAACCAAUGCAAACCAAUGAGUACUGCAUGGACAUGGUUGUUAUUCGGCAGAAAGUAAAAAUAAAAAUGUAAGGUAUUUCCUUUGA
Molecule: long non-coding RNA, 750 nt
Organism: Salvelinus fontinalis (brook trout)
Lineage: Eukaryota; Metazoa; Chordata; Actinopteri; Salmoniformes; Salmonidae
Exons: 5
Source: RefSeq, a predicted model, not a curated record